This 586-nucleotide ribosomal RNA is filed under the name uncultured bacterium. Its description in RNAcentral is "bacterial SSU rRNA". It matches the Rfam family "Bacterial small subunit ribosomal RNA", at positions 102 to 684 of the family's 1533-position model. The record is from RNAcentral.
ACGGGUGAGUAAUGCGUCGGAACGUGCCGAGUAGUGGGGGAUAACGCAGCGAAAGUUGUGCUAAUACCGCAUACGUACUGAGGUAGAAAGUGGGGGACCUUCGGGCCUCACGCUAUUCGAGCGGCCGACGUCUGAUUAGCUAGUAGGUGAGGUAAGAGCUCACCUAGGCGACGAUCAGUAGCGGGUCUGAGAGGAUGAUCCGCCACACUGGGACUGAGACACGGCCCAGACUCCUACGGGAGGCAGCAGUGGGGAAUUUUGGACAAUGGGCGCAAGCCUGAUCCAGCCAUGCCGCGUGUCUGAAGAAGGCCUUCGGGUUGUAAAGGACUUUUGUCAGGGAGGAAAUCCUAGUGGCUAAUAACUACUGGGGAUGACAGUACCUGAAGAAUAAGCACCGGCUAACUACGUGCCAGCAGCCGCGGUAAUACGUAGGGUGCAAGCGUUAAUCGGAAUUACUGGGCGUAAAGCGUGCGCAGGCGGUUAGAUAAGCCAGAUGUGAAAUCCCCGAGCUCAACUUGGGAACUGCGUUUGGAACUGUUUAACUAGAGUGCGUCAGAGGGGGGUGGAAUUCCGCGUGUAGCAGUGA